Acinonyx jubatus (cheetah) is the source of this 6319-nucleotide long non-coding RNA. RefSeq lists it as uncharacterized. The record is from RefSeq and is a predicted model, not a curated record. The transcript has 5 exons. Lineage: Eukaryota; Metazoa; Chordata; Mammalia; Carnivora; Felidae.
AAUAUAUAUGCUCUUUUAGUUCCCUUGGGGAUGAACUGUAAUGGCUAAACUUCUCUUUUCCCUUUGACGCAGGCAUUCAUCGUUCAUCCACAGUGUAGACGUUGUCAAAUCGCCACAGCUGGCUGGCUUUUCCAUCACACUGGCGCAGUCCUAAUUGAGCUUCCAUAGAUCUUCACAAGCCGUCCUACAAUUCCUACAGAAGGGUAAAGAACCAAGAAUGGAGAGAGACAGAGCAUGAACGGGGGAGGGGCAGAGAGAGAGGGAGACACAGAAUCCGAAGCAGGCUCCAGGCUCUGAGCCAUCAGCCCAGAGCCCGACGCGGGGCUCGAACUUACGGACCGCGAGAUCAUGACCUGAGUUGAAGUCGGACGCUUAACCGACUGAGCCACCCAGGCGCCCCUGCAAUUCUUAAAUAAGGACAUUGUGAGUAUACUGAGUAAGUUGGAGGUAAGUCUGGAAGAAAUUUCUGAGAGAUUGUCUUAGAGGGUAGAAUUGAAGUUUAUGCACCUCAUCUGGGGUUGCUCACAAGUGUGGUGGACAUUGGAUCCCAGUCCAAAUUCUGCAACUCAUUGUCUAUGUAGUCCUGGAAAUGCUUCCAUAUAUUCACAGAAGGAAAGGAUGAGAUGUUCCCAGAGAAUUCUCACUGCUAACGUUCUCUGAUGGAAACUGGACAUGCAUUAUAAAAUGGAGAUUUUACUUGAGCCAUUUAUAUAGAACCUCUGAAUUGUCAUGCAGCUGGAGGAAAGUGAAUAAAUCUUAAACAACCCACACAGCGUCCCUGCUUUCCGAACAAGAGAGUUCUUGGAAACCAAAUUCCUAGCAUCUGCAAAUACAACCCCAUGGAGAACCAAGUCACCAGCCACAAAGAGCCAUAGCUUCAGGCAUAAAACUACCCUGCAUUCCCAUUAAAAAUGCCCAUGCUCUUGGCUCAAAAUAUUGGUCUGCAUUUUAAAUUAUAUUUGCAUAUUGAUUUUAAGACUCUCUCACAACUCUGUAAAUAAAUCAAAUAAAUUAAUUAGAAGAACUGACUGUGGUAGCUCUCCAACCCAGCAGUGAAAUCACUCUCACAAAGUGCAUAGUUGAGCUUGUAACCAAUCUACAUAAUUGUGUCCUUGAUUGGGGAAGAUAAGUGUGCUUUGAAGGCAAUCCUCUGCUCCUUACUGGGCCUCUUGGAGAGACCAGAAGACAAUGUCAGAGAAAGGCCAAAGGACAUUUCUUGGAUUGGGUAUUUGGGCAUCAGUCCUUUUUCUGUAUGAGUUGUGGGGGAAAGCAUGCAUCCUGAAAAGGUAGCUUUGGAUUAAAAAUUGGAAGCUUUGCAUCACAAGAAUCAGCAUGAACUGCUUUGUAGAGUCUGUACAACAUUUUUAUGCUCUGCUUCUUCCUAAAAAUAGCAAUUACCAUCUGCAUUUUAUUUGUUUGUAUUUUAGGACUUUCUUCUGAAAGGGUUUGUGGCAGCUUGUGUGUACAUUCAAUUUUAUUGAACAGAAUAAAUAGCUAAGGACGCUGGGUCAAAGGGAAAGUCAGCUUAGGGAGUAAGAUGAAACCAGAAGUAAAAUUAGCAUAUGAUGCGUAGAUCAUGAAGUCUAUGCAAUUGCUAAAGUGAGCCACUCCGAUCUUCCUAGCAGUCAAUGUAAAGAAGGAAAUAUGACUAGUCAUCAGAAUCACAAUAUUCAUAGAAUAAGAACAUUCCAACCGUAUAAUCAAUAGAUUCCCCUGGUCAUUGUCUAUGAAACCUGGGAUCCAGGAUUUUAAUCUUUAUUAUUUUUUUUUCAGGGUUUUAAUCUUUAAACGGCACGUACCUAGAGAAAAAAAUGUGCAUGUUGGUCAGUUACGAGUAGUAUCAAAUGUUUUGACAAUCAAGAAAAUGUAAUAUAAGGGUUAUAUUCUCUUUAGUUUGAAAAAAAUUGUUAUGGUUCACACUGGGACUUAUGCCUGUGGAGAUCCACUCCACACUCACAGGGAGGUGGGCUGGAGUGGACCAUGGAUAGAAGCAAGGUUUUCCUCAGAAAACUGUAUUUUGGACAUAGAGACAUUCGAGCGCCCAGUGUUUCAGGUCCUUAGGGCAGUGAAUCUUAACUCUGGCUGCACAUCAGAAUGACUGGGAGCUUUGAACAACAUUGAAACCCAGUCCCCCAGGGGAUUCUCACGUGUAUCCAGAGAUGAGGACCACUGCCCAGGGAGUGGGUGGGGUUGUUUCAGGUGGGAAAAACCCAGGGUAGCUGCUACCAAUCAUCGAUCAUAGCCGUAGUUAGUAGGAUGCCCUUGCUAUAUCUGGCUGUGAAUGAUGGAAGAUCCUGGUGAGCAAUGAGGGAAAAUGUACCUGGAGAUAGUAAACCAGGAGUUGAUCUGUUGCAUCGAAUUAUUGGAACUUAGCCAGUUAGUCUUGGAAGACGUCUGCCCACAGGAAGGACUUAAGCCUUUUCAGAAUGGGGCCUCCUGCUGUGACAUUGGUUUGUAGAGUGACCAACCAUCUCAGUUCUAAGUUUCCCAAGCCAUGGGGCUUUCAUUGCUAAAACUAGGAAAUCCCAGGGAUAAGUUGGUCAUUCUGUUGGUUUGGCUUCUUCUCAAGGCAGCAUCAGAGAGUAGAAAGGGGUGACUUGGCCAAAGAGGAAGAGUCAGACCUGAGACACUUGGGACUUGUUCUGAGGCAGAGCAGGGCUGGGGCUUCCUGUGGGUGUUUAUCUGCUCAGCUGUGACCUCCUUUCUAGAGGGACUGCCAAGGGCAAUGUUCUCUGCCUUCACCUCUGUCCCUAUCUCCCUGGGACAUCUCUGUGUCCACUCCAGAUUCCAGUAGGGGCCCAGGGCUCUGGAACCUUUGGGGCUUCAGGGAAGUGGAACCUCCUCAAACCCUGAGAUCUAUUCUAUUGGCCUCUCCAGGACCAUGGCUCUCCUCCAAAGUUAGGGCAUGGGCUUUCAAGACUUUUGCCUGGAAACUUUAUCCUUGAAAAUCAAGUGGGCAGCCCCUGCAUUACAAACACUCAGAUAAUACAAGAUUCUCACAGGCAAACGGUGACCUGCUACCAGAGUUGGUUUUGUGGGCAUUCACAAGGGGCGCUGUGAUCACAAGGGCCCAUGCUUAGUUUAAUGUUCUGCUGUUGCCGUUUUGAAAUCUUUAAUAAUUUUUGAGCAAACCACCCCAUAUUUUCAUUUUACACUGGGUCCUGCAAAUUAUUUAGCCCACCCUGCCUGCCACCCCAGCCCAAAGGCAACCCUUCCACUUUCAUUCUACCCCAACAAAUUGCCUUCUGCGGCUUUCACCAGGGGCGCCAUUAUGGACAAGACUGACAAUAAAAUGGCAGAGAUUUUACCUCAGGGCCGGUUCCUGAGACUGUUUUACAGCACAUCAUUGUAUAGUGUUUCCAGACACCAUAUAUGUAAGUAACCUUAGGUACAUAGAUAAUAAUAAUAAAAUGUAGUCAAAUAAUUAGGAAGUGAUGAAUUUUGAGCACCCCAUUACCUUUUUUUUAAUGUUCAUGUAAGUAUAAAUUUAUAUAAUUUAAUUUUUAAUAAUGAGCAUGUUUAGCAACCAGCUAGCAAGAUUCCUAACAUUUAACAACUGGCUGUCAUGAGCCAGCACCAUUUGGCUCAAGCACGUCUCUACCUCUGAAACUGGACUCCAUGAUUAACAGUGCUGUGAUCAACCAACGAUGUUCUCUUAAGAGCAUAGAAGGGACAAGCGGUGGAACACAUUUUCUAGAAUGUCAGUGACUUUACGAAAACAACUUUUUUUUUUUUUUGUAAUUGCAGAGAGCCUGGAAAGGAAAUGGCACAUUUCUCCCUGGGAGGCAAUAUGUCAAUCUUGCCCCUCGUUUACAAUGCUUCUUCAGUGGUAUCUCACUGCGUUUCAUUGGCAUGGCCAAAGUUCUGGAAAGAAAGGAGUGGGAACAACCUGGGGAAGAAUUUCUCAUUUUUGCCCCAAGUUGCUAACAACUCCAUUAAUACUGUACUCUACAGAAAAGUCAACUGCUGAAAUGUGGGCGUAAAUACUUUUGCAGAUUCUUUUGCUUGAGUAGAGGGAGUGUUUGAGGUCUGAAUUUCACAGUUUAAUAUCUCACCAAGACUUUCUACACCAGCUUUCCCAUUUCUCUUUUGUUUUUCCUGGUGGUAUUUUCCAGCAGAUGAACAGAUCAGGGGUCUGCCUGGUUCUUGAAGGGAGCAGGCAACAGCUGCCUCAGUAGAAGCAUGAAGGAAUUAAUGUGACUUCCAGAGUGUCAAAAGUCUCUUAAUGAGCUGUUAGCAUUUGGUACAACUUGCCACAGUGGCUGUGACUUGAGGACUUCCAGAUAUUGCUUUUGGAGUUGAAAAAACUCCCUGAGAUCUAGGGCCCAAGCUCCCUUUCCCCCUCUCUGUCAUUAAAUAUCUGUGGUUACUGCAAGAAUCUGCCCAUAGUGGGUGUUUGAUAAACCUAUAUCCCAAGUUGAUCAGUUAGAGGGUGUGAGUUAUAGUGAAGGGAUAACCGUUCUUACCAAUUUUUUUUCAUUUCUUUAUUGAGUUACAAUCUACAUGUAGUAAAAUACACAUAUCUUAAGUGUAUAGCUCGAUGCUUUUUUGCAUAUACAUAUGUAAGUAUCCAUGUGACCACCACCCUAUCAAGAUGUACAUUUCCUUCACCCUAGAAAAUUCCCUUGUGUCCUUUUCCAGUCAAUACCAACUACCCCAGAGGUAACCACUAUUUUCAUCUUGUCAUAGGGCUGCCGUAAUAAAAUACAAUAGACUGGGUGGCUUAAACAACAUAAAUUAAUUUUCUCACAGUUCUGGAGCCUCCAAGUCCAAGAUCAAGGUUCUGGCCAAUUCAGUUCCUGGUGAGAGCCCUCUUCCUGGUUUGUAGAUUGCCACCUUCCCACUGUGUCCUCACAUGACCUGUUCUUUGUAUGUAUGUGAGCACUGUGGUUUCCCUUCUUAAAAAGACACUAAUCUUGGGGCGCCUGGGUGGCUCAGUCGGUUGGGCAUCCGACUUCAGCUCAGGUCAUGAUCUCGUGGUCUGUGGAUUCUGGCUCCAUGUCAGGCUCUGUGCUGACAGCUCAGAGCCUGGAGCCUGUUUCAGAUUCUGUGUCUCCCUCUCUCUCUGCUCUUUCCCCGCUAACACUCUGUCUCUCUCAAAAAUAAAUAAACAUUAAAAACAAAAAGAAAGAAAGACACUAAUCUAAUUGGAUCAGGGCCUCUCCAUUACAGCCUCAUUUAACCUUGAUUUCUUUCUUAGAGGCCCCAUCUCCAAAUAUAGCCACACUGGGAAUUAAGGCUUCAACACAGGAAUUUGGGGGGGGGGGGGGACACACAAACAUUCAGUCUAUAAUAGACCUCUAUCACAGAGUAGCAUUGCUGGUUCCAGAGUUUCAUGGAAAUGGAAUCAUACCAUAUAUGCUCUUUUGUGUGUGUUUCUUUUGCUCAAUGUCAUGCUUUUGAGAUUUGUCCAUGUUGUUGCAUGUGUCAGUGCAUCUUUCUAUAGCUGAAUAACAUUUUGUUGUAUAAAGAAACCAUAAUUGGUUUAUCCAUUCCCUAUUGAUGAACAUUUGAGUGGUUUCCAAUUUUCCAAGAGAUAUUUAUUCUUUGUAGGGCUCUGUGUUCGCUCCUGGGCUAUCAAGAAAUGUAAACUAUGUCCCUGCCCAUCAGAAGCUGAUGCUUGGGAUCUGUGCUUGAAAAACAGCUAAGAUUGCACCAACAUAUCAAACAAAAUAUGACUCUGACUCAAUGAACACAGACUGAGUCAAGGACUCAGAAGGAGGGAGUUUUUUAAGGAACAUCAGUACAGUCUGUUUGUAAAUACAUGCACUUAGAAGAUGAGCCAGCUUUAAAACAUCAGCUGCCGGAGAACCAAAAGCAACUUCAAGUGAGGUCGGAGCUGGCAGUUCCUGGCCUGGGAUCAUCGUUGCCCCCUCCUACCUUUCCAGAGCAGAACCUGGCUCUUUGCGGCACAACAGUGGGGGUAGCUUCUGAUUAGGAAAGAGAGCUCCAGUCAGGGUGGCAAAUUUGUCCCGGUAUUCCCAGAACUUCCUGGAUUAAAAAAUUGAAAGUCCCACAUCCCAGGAACCCCCUCAUUCCAGCAAGGAGGUAUUUGUGGAGGCUUCCAAGAAGACAAACUGAACAGGAUGGGAUGUUUGCUUUCAUGGAUCAGAAAUGAAUCACAUCACUUUCUUUCAGUAACGACACAGAGUUGCAGAGUCACAAGAAAGAAACAACAGAAAGAAAAUGUUUUCGGGGUGGGGGGGAGGUUGUGAAUAAAGGCUCCUGAGUGGAGACCCAGGAUUGUGAGGCAGAGAUUGACAGUGUUUGACUGUGGUUGCCUCUAGAAGGACAAUAAACUUGCCAUGCUUAUUUACAA